This is a non-coding RNA of Martensiomyces pterosporus, 103 nucleotides long. Lineage: Eukaryota; Fungi; Kickxellomycota; Kickxellomycetes; Kickxellales; Kickxellaceae. The record is from the annotation of a GenBank genome assembly.
GCCUGACUGGCCAAGUGGUAAGGCGUCUGUCUUGUAGUAUGGGCGAAUGUCGCCCCCGCUGCUAGCAAACAGAAGAUCUCCGGUUCGAAUCCGGAGUUGGGCA